Molecule: long non-coding RNA, 292 nt
Organism: Stylophora pistillata
Lineage: Eukaryota; Metazoa; Cnidaria; Anthozoa; Scleractinia; Pocilloporidae
Source: RefSeq, a predicted model, not a curated record
UUACAUUGUAGCUCGUCAGUUCCAAAAGAUUAAACACACAAUGGUAUCAAUGAUACAAAGCUUGUCAAAAGUGAAUGUCCAACUAGAAUGGAUCAGCAAUCAUUAUGCUGAACCAUCAGCCUUGACCUCAAGACAAGACCAAUUGUUUGUACAACAAAUGUUGGAGGUUUGCAAAGGAUUUGCCGCAUCAAAUCUUGAAAACAUUAAUAAAGCAUCAGCUUCCACCAACAGUGAAGCAAACUACCAUUAAACAGCAUAUGGAGACCACAUUUCCACAUUGUGUUACUACCCU